This 253-nucleotide ribosomal RNA is filed under the name uncultured bacterium. Its description in RNAcentral is "partial 16S ribosomal RNA". It matches the Rfam family "Bacterial small subunit ribosomal RNA", at positions 524 to 776 of the family's 1533-position model. The record is from RNAcentral.
UACGUAGGGUGCGAGCGUUAAUCGGAAUUACUGGGCGUAAAGCGUGCGUAGGCGGUUCUCCAAGUCCGUUGUGAAAGCCCCGGGCUUAACCUGGGAACUGCGUUUGAAACUGGGAGACUUGAGUGUGGCAGAGGGGGGUGGAAUUCCACGUGUAGCAGUGAAAUGCGUAGAUAUGUGGAGGAACACCGAUGGCGAAGGCAGCCCCCUGGGUUAACACUGACGCUCAUGCACGAAAGCGUGGGGAGCAAACAGG